GACGAACGCUGGCGGCGUGCUUAACACAUGCAAGUCGAACGGAAAGGCCCUGCUUUUGUUGGGUGCUCGAUUGGCGAACGGGUGAGUAACACGUGAGUAACCUGCCCUUGACUUUGGGAUAACUUCAGGAAACUGGGGCUAAUACCGGAUAGGAGCUCCUGCUGCAUGGUGGGGGUUGGAAAGUUUCGGCGGUGGGGGAUGGACUCGCGGCUUAUCAGCUUGUUGGUGAGGUAGUGGCUUACCAAGGCUUUGACGGGUAGCCGGCCUGAGAGGGUGACCGGCCACAUUGGGACUGCGAUACGGCCCAGAAUCCUACGGGAGGCAGCAGUGGGGAAUCUUGCACAAUGGGCGGAAGCCUGAUGCAGCAACGCCGCGUGCGGGAUGCCGGCCUUCGGGUUGUAAACCGCUUUCGCCUGUGACGAAGAGUGAGUGACGGUAAUGGGUAAAGAAGCACCGGCUAACUACGUG
Molecule: ribosomal RNA, 468 nt
Filed under: uncultured bacterium
Lineage: Bacteria
Description: partial 16S ribosomal RNA
Rfam family: Bacterial small subunit ribosomal RNA
Source: RNAcentral